Molecule: long non-coding RNA, 469 nt
Organism: Labrus mixtus (cuckoo wrasse)
Lineage: Eukaryota; Metazoa; Chordata; Actinopteri; Labriformes; Labridae
Exons: 2
Source: RefSeq, a predicted model, not a curated record
AAAGUACAGCAAAGCUAAGGCUUUCUAUAGUAAAUAUUAACAGCAUGGGCAUGUCAUGGUUUUGCCAUUGUAGUGAAAAACACAUAGACUACAGGACUUGCUUUAAAGGAUGAUCAUCACAAUGGAAUAUAUAUCAUGUUAAGAUCAUGCUUAACUAGGCGUGCAUCAGUAGUGUUGGAAUCAUUUGCUGAGCUUAAUACACUGCCUAGGUCUGAGGAACUCAAGACACAUUCAAAAGCACUCCUCCUGUUUCAGGUCGCAGGGAUCCAGAUAACGUUUAGAGCCUUGGAACUUUGUGACAGCUUCAUCUGUCAAAUUAUUUUUUCCAAUUUCAUAAUUUAAUUAUAUUGUUUUUAGUUAAUAAGAAAAAUUCAAUUUCAAUGUGAUAGAAAGACGAUUAAAAAAAGAAAAAGGUACGGUCAGUUACUCACCACUUCAUUCUAAGAUUGGCAGUCAACAAAAGAAAAAG